CGCAGCCGCGGUAAUUCCAGCUCCAAUAGCGUAUAUUAAAGUUGUUGCAGUUAAAAAGCUCGUAGUUGAAUUUCGGGAUCAGUUGAUCGGUCGUGCCUCGGUACGUACUGGUCAAAUUGAUUCCUACCUUCUGACGAACCACGAUGUCAUUAAUUUGGUGUCGUGGGAAAUCAGGACUGUUACUUUGAAAAAAUUAGAGUGUUUAAAGCAGGCUCGCGCUUGAAUACAUUAGCAUGGAAUAAUGAAAUAGGACGUUUGAUUCUAUUUUGUUGGUUUCUAGGAUCGACGUAAUGAUUAAUAGGGAUAGUUGGGGGCAUUAGUAUUCAAUUGUCAGAGGUGAAAUUCUUGGAUUUAUUGAAGACUAACUACUGCGAAAGCAUUUGCCAAGGAUGUUUUCAUUAAUCAAGAACGAAAGUUAGGGGAUCGAAGACGAUCAGAUACCGUCGUAGUCUUAACCAUAAA
Molecule: ribosomal RNA, 462 nt
Filed under: uncultured Glomus
Lineage: Eukaryota; Fungi; Glomeromycota; Glomeromycetes; Glomerales; Glomeraceae
Description: SSU rRNA
Rfam family: Eukaryotic small subunit ribosomal RNA
Source: RNAcentral